RNAcentral lists this transfer RNA (73 nucleotides) under Chelodina canni. Its description in RNAcentral is "tRNA-Trp". The record is from RNAcentral. Lineage: Eukaryota; Metazoa; Chordata; Testudines; Chelidae.
AGAAGCUUAGGAUAAUAACCUAAACCAGGAGCCUUCAAAGCCCCAAAUAAGAGUCACAAUCUCUUAGUUUCUG